CUCCGAUCCCCUGGCUGGUGGGGAACUUCAAUUUCAAAUGGUAGGUUGAAACAACAGCUCUGAGGGUAUUGAGGCCGGGUCGGCCAAGAAUUGCAUUGUAGGCAGAUGGCGCCUUUACCAUCAGAAAAUUUACCAGAGCUCUGGACUGCUUUGGAUGCUGACCCACGGUCACAGUUAGAGCUAUCAUUCCUUCCGUCGGAACGGCGUCACCGGUAAACCCUAUUAAGGGGGAGCAAAUCGGCCGUAGAUGACCGCCAAGAGUGGCCAUUCUUGAAAAGGCGUUGUAGAACAAGAUGUCGGCCGAACUCCCGUUGUCGACGAGAAUGCGACGGACGUCGUAAUUUGCUACGUUCAAGGAAACUACGACCGCGUCAUUAUGAGGGAAUUGGACUCCCUGGGCGUCUUCUUCAGUGAAGGCUAUGGGCUCUUC
This 430-nucleotide long non-coding RNA is filed under the name Elaeis guineensis (African oil palm). RNAcentral describes it as "long non-coding RNA (EGUI_LNC077589)". The record is from RNAcentral. Lineage: Eukaryota; Viridiplantae; Streptophyta; Magnoliopsida; Arecales; Arecaceae.